RNAcentral lists this ribosomal RNA (450 nucleotides) under uncultured bacterium. Its description in RNAcentral is "partial 16S ribosomal RNA". It matches the Rfam family "Bacterial small subunit ribosomal RNA", at positions 28 to 507 of the family's 1533-position model. The record is from RNAcentral.
GAUGAACGCUGGCGGCGUGCCUAACACAUGCAAGUCGAGCGGCAGCGAGGGGUGCUUGCACCCUGUCGGCGAGCGGCGGACGGCUGAGUAGCGCGUGGGAACGUGUCCCAAAGUGAGGAAUAACUGCCCGAAAGGGUAGCUAAUACCGCAUAUUAUCUUCGGAUCAAAGGAUUUAUCCGCUUUGGGAGCGGCUCGCGUCGGAUUAGGUAGUUGGUGAGGUAAUGGCUCACCAAGCCGACGAUCCGUAGCUGUCUGAGAGGAUGACCAGCCAGACUGGAACUGAGACACGGUCCAGACUCCUACGGGAGGCAGCAGUGAGGAAUCUUCCACAAUGGGCGAAAGCCUGAUGGAGCAACGCCGCGUGCAGGACGAAGGCCUUCGGGUUGUAAACUGCUUUUAUAAGUGAGGAAUAUGACGGUAACUUAUGAAUAAGGAUCGGCUAACUACGUG